CUGCUAAUACCNCANANUGUCUANGGACNAAAGGGGGCNUCGGCUCUCGCCUUUNGAUUGGCCCAAGUGGNAUUAGCNAGNUGGUGAGGUAAUGGCUCACCAAGGCGACGAUCCCUAGCUGGNUUGAGAGGAUGAUCANCCACACUGGGANUGAGACACGGCCCANANUCCUNNGGGAGGCAGCAGUGGGGAAUAUUGCACAAUGGGCGCAAGCCUGAUGCAGCCAUGCCGCGUGUGUGAAGAAGGCCUUCGGGUUGUAAAGCACUUUCAGUCAGGAGGAAAGGUUAGUANUUAAUACCUGCUAGCUGUGACGUUACUGACAGAAGAAGCACCGGCUAACUCCGUGCCAGCAGCCGCGGUAAUACGGAGGGUGCGAGCGUUAAUCGGAAUUACUGGGCGUAAAGCGUACGCAGGCGGUUUGUUAAGCGAGAUGUGAAAGCCCCGGGCUCAACCUGGGAACUGCAUUUCGAACUGGCAAACUAGAGUGUGAUAGAGGGUGGUAGAAUUUCAGGUGUAGCGGUGAAAUGCGUAGAGAUCUGAAGGAAUACCGAUGGCGAAGGCAGCCACCUGGGUCAACACUGACGCUCAUGUACGANAGCGUGNGGAGCANACAGGAUUAGAUACNCUGGUAGUCCACGCCGUANACGAUGUCUACUAGAAGCUCGGAACCUCGGUUCUG
This 679-nucleotide ribosomal RNA is filed under the name Pseudoalteromonas sp. WH009082c. RNAcentral's name for it is "partial 16S ribosomal RNA". It matches the Rfam family "Bacterial small subunit ribosomal RNA", at positions 160 to 841 of the family's 1533-position model. Lineage: Bacteria; Pseudomonadati; Pseudomonadota; Gammaproteobacteria; Alteromonadales; Pseudoalteromonadaceae. The record is from RNAcentral.